This 116-nucleotide small RNA is filed under the name Marmota monax (woodchuck). The record is from RNAcentral. Lineage: Eukaryota; Metazoa; Chordata; Mammalia; Rodentia; Sciuridae.
GCCAGGUGUGGUGGUGUAUACCUGUAGUCCAGCUACUUCAGAGGCUGAGACAGAAGGAUCCCUUGAGCCCAGGGGUUUGAGGCCAGCCUAGGCAACACAGAAAGACCUCAUCUCUU